GGUGCAGUGGUUGUCGUCAGCUCGUGUCGUGAGAUGUUGGGUUAAGUCCCGCAACGAGCGCAACCCUCGUCCUAUGUUGCCAGCGGGUCAUGCCGGGGACUCAUGGGAGACUGCCGGGGUCAACUCGGAGGAAGGUGGGGAUGACGUCAAAUCAUCAUGCCCCUUAUGUCUUGGGCUUCACGCAUGCUACAAUGGCCGGUACAAAGGGCUGCGAUACCGCGAGGUGGAGCGAAUCCCAGAAAGCCGGUCUCAGUUCGGAUUGGGGUCUGCAACUCGACCCCAUGAAGUCGGAGUCGCUAGUAAUCGCAGAUCAGCAACGCUGCGGUGAAUACGUUCCCGGGCCUU
This 345-nucleotide ribosomal RNA is filed under the name uncultured Cellulomonas sp. RNAcentral's name for it is "bacterial SSU rRNA". It matches the Rfam family "Bacterial small subunit ribosomal RNA", at positions 1040 to 1382 of the family's 1533-position model. Lineage: Bacteria; Bacillati; Actinomycetota; Actinomycetes; Micrococcales; Cellulomonadaceae. The record is from RNAcentral.